RNAcentral lists this ribosomal RNA (578 nucleotides) under uncultured bacterium. RNAcentral describes it as "bacterial SSU rRNA". It matches the Rfam family "Bacterial small subunit ribosomal RNA", at positions 28 to 638 of the family's 1533-position model. The record is from RNAcentral.
AAUCAACGCUGGCGGCGUGCCUAACACAUGCAAGUCGAACGAGAAAGUGGAGCAAUCCAUGAGUAAAGUGGCGACCGGGUGAGUAACACGUGACUAACCUACCUUUCAGUGGGGAAUAACCUCGGGAAACCGGGGCUAAUACCGCAUAAUGUCUACGGACCAAAGGAGCAAUUCGCUGGAAGAGGGGGUCGCGGCCGAUUAGCUAGUUGGCGGGGUAACGGCCCACCAAGGCAAUGAUCGGUAGCCGGCCUGAGAGGGCGCACGGCCACACUGGAACUGAAACACGGUCCAGACUCCUACGGGAGGCAGCAGUGGGGAAUUUUGCGCAAUGGGGGAAACCCUGACGCAGCAACGCCGCGUGGAGGAUGAAGCCCCUUGGGGUGUAAACUCCUUUCGAUCGGGACGAUGAUGACGGUACCGGAUGAAGAAGCACCGGCUAACUCUGUGCCAGCAGCCGCGGUAAUACAGAGGGUGCAAGCGUUGUUCGGAAUUAUUGGGCGUAAAGGGUGCGUAGGCGGUGCGGUAAGUCUGUUGUGAAAUCUCCGGGCUCAACUCGGAGCCUGCAACGGAAACUGCCG